This 183-nucleotide ribosomal RNA is filed under the name Acinetobacter baumannii. Its description in RNAcentral is "partial 16S ribosomal RNA". It matches the Rfam family "Bacterial small subunit ribosomal RNA", at positions 1361 to 1533 of the family's 1533-position model. The record is from RNAcentral. RNAcentral also lists the same sequence under 5 other names. Lineage: Bacteria; Pseudomonadati; Pseudomonadota; Gammaproteobacteria; Moraxellales; Moraxellaceae.
GGUGAAUACGUUCCCGGGCCUUGUACACACCGCCCGUCACACCAUGGGAGUGGGUUGCAAAAGAAGUAGGUAGCUUAACCUUCGGGAGGGCGCUUACCACUUUGUGAUUCAUGACUGGGGUGAAGUCGUAACAAGGUAACCGUAGGGGAACCUGCGGUUGGAUCACCUCCUUACCUUAAAGAA